This 68-nucleotide transfer RNA is filed under the name Mystacina tuberculata (New Zealand lesser short-tailed bat). RNAcentral's name for it is "tRNA-Thr". The record is from RNAcentral. Lineage: Eukaryota; Metazoa; Chordata; Mammalia; Chiroptera; Mystacinidae.
GUCCAUGUAGUAUAUCUAUUACCCUGGUCUUGUAAACCAGAAAAGGGAAAUAAACUUCCCCAUAGACU